This 253-nucleotide ribosomal RNA is filed under the name uncultured bacterium. Its description in RNAcentral is "partial 16S ribosomal RNA". It matches the Rfam family "Bacterial small subunit ribosomal RNA", at positions 524 to 776 of the family's 1533-position model. The record is from RNAcentral.
UACGUAGGUGGCAGGCGUUAUCCGGAUUUAUUGGGCGCAAAGAGAACGCAGGCGGUCUUUUAAGUCUGAUGUGAAAGCCUUCGGCUUAACCGGAGUAGUGCAUUGGAAACUGGGAGACUUGAGUGCAGAAGAGGAGAGUGGAACUCCAUGUGUAGCGGUGAAAUGCGUAGAUAUAUGGAAGAACACCAGUGGCGAAAGCGGCUCUCUGGUCUGUAACUGACGCUGAGGUUCGAAAGCGUGGGUAGCAAACAGG